Molecule: ribosomal RNA, 423 nt
Filed under: uncultured bacterium
Lineage: Bacteria
Description: bacterial SSU rRNA
Rfam family: Bacterial small subunit ribosomal RNA
Source: RNAcentral
UAGGGAAUAUUGGGCAAUGGGCGAGAGCCUGACCCAGCCAUGCCGCGUGCAGGAAGAAGGCUUUCUGAGUCGUAAACUGCUUUUGACAGGGAAGAAUAAGCACUACGUGUAGUGUGAUGACGGUACCUGCAGAAUAAGCACCGGCUAACUCCGUGCCAGCAGCCGCGGUAAUACGGAGGGUGCGAGCGUUGUCCGGAUUUAUUGGGUUUAAAGGGUGCGUAGGCGGUUCUUUAAGUCCGGGGUGAAAGCCCGCUGCUCAACAGCGGAACUGCCCUGGAUACUGGAGAACUUGAGUACAGACGAGGUUGGCGGAAUGGACUGAGUAGCGGUGAAAUGCAUAGAUACAGUCCAGAACCCCGAUUGCGAAGGCAGCUGACUAGGCUGUUACUGACGCUGAGGCACGAAAGCGUGGGGAGCGAACAG